GUUUUAAUAGUUUAAAAUAAAACAUCGGUCUUGUAAGUCGAAGAUAAGGAUUAUCCUUUUAAAACA
This 66-nucleotide transfer RNA is filed under the name Euphausia superba (Antarctic krill). RNAcentral's name for it is "tRNA-Thr". It matches the Rfam family "tRNA". From Rfam's summary of the family: Transfer RNA (tRNA) molecules are approximately 80 nucleotides in length. Their secondary structure includes four short double-helical elements and three loops (D, anti-codon, and T loops). The record is from RNAcentral. Lineage: Eukaryota; Metazoa; Arthropoda; Malacostraca; Euphausiacea; Euphausiidae.